Molecule: small RNA, 83 nt
Filed under: Azospirillum brasilense
Lineage: Bacteria; Pseudomonadati; Pseudomonadota; Alphaproteobacteria; Rhodospirillales; Azospirillaceae
Description: suhB
Source: RNAcentral
CGUUACUGCUUUUGCAGUGCGUUUCCUCCCUAAACUCUUCAAGGCCGCGCCCCAUCGGGGUUGCGGCCCUUUUUCUUUUCGAC